RNAcentral lists this long non-coding RNA (2973 nucleotides) under Triticum aestivum (bread wheat). RNAcentral's name for it is "long non-coding RNA (TAES_LNC008710)". Lineage: Eukaryota; Viridiplantae; Streptophyta; Magnoliopsida; Poales; Poaceae. The record is from RNAcentral.
ACACAAUAUGCUCGAUAUGUGCAAAUACAACAUGGCUUCACAACAUAACUCUAUGACUCAAAGUAUUUAUUCAUAAGGCUCCGAAGAGUCAUACAUAGUAAGAAUUACAAUCAUGGUUCACAUGACCCAACAUACAGAGCAUACAGGCAACAGAAGUAUAACAUGUCUGAGUACAGACAACUACAAAUGAAAAAUACUAAGAAGCCUGACUAUCUACAAGACCCUCCCAAGGGUACAAGAUCGUAACUGAGGUAACAAGCUAAACGUCGAAGUCCACGCGGAACUACUAGUGAGACUGAAGUCUCUCUGCAAAACAUAAAUUAAGCAAACGUGAGCACAAAUGUACCCAGCAAGACUUACAUCAGAACUAGCUACAUAUGCAUCAGUAUCAACAAAGGGGUGGUGGAGUUUAAUUGCAGCAAGCCAGCUUUGACUCGGUGGCUAUCCUAAACUACGACUGUUGGUAACUCUUUUGAGGUGGCGCACAUGAGUCCACAUAUUCAGCAUAUCAAUACACCACUAUGGAUCCGCUCCCGUCUCCCCACGAGAACGCCAUCCAUAGAACUCACGCUUAUCUUGCGCAUUUUAGAGUAUCCACUUUCACUUGUCUAUGAACUAUACAGGCAACCCAGAGGUCCUUUACCGCGGACGCGGUUAUUCGAAUAGAUCAUGUUAAACCUGCAGGGGUGUACUUCUUCACACACGCUCUCGCCACUUACCACCAUGUACACGUUGUGUAUCUCGGCAACCUUCAAGAGGAAGCCUGGCGAGGGAGUCGGCCACGACCUGAAUAACCACACAAGUCUCUAGUCUAGGUUUAUCGCCUAUUCGGGUUCCAUCCGUAAGGAGAUCCGCCCGGGGUGUCGCUCACGGCCCCAAACGAUGUGAGCAGGGUUCCCAAGCCCUCCAAAUGGGCGACGCUUGGUACACCGUGCCACUGCACCUAGUCUGUCCCAAGCCCACCUAUACCGGGUGCCACUUGGUAGACUACUAGCACUACCUACAAACACCAGAAACUAGUUGCAACUCCUGGACAGAGAUCAGGUUGAUUAAUAAGUCGAGAGAGCUUGGAGUGCCCAGAGCCCAAUGUGUGGUAGUAGCUGUUCAUGGAUCACAAACACAGUACUCAGUUCCUGAGGACGGCUGCACUGAGACAACCCACCAUGUACUCUUACAUGGCCUCUCACCGCUACCUUUACCAAAUCGUGUUCACACACUUAGCUCUCAACAGUAGGACAUGUUCACCACAUUCCAAUUCAUUCCCGAUGAAUCAGACCUGACUCAACUCUAAGCAGUAGUAGGCAUGACAACAAGCAUGAAUGAGUAGGCACAUCAGGGCUCAAACAACAACUACUCAUGCUAGUGGGUUUCAUCUAUUUAUUGUGGCAAUGACAGGUCAUGCAAAGGGAAGGGGUUCAACUACCGCAACAUGUAACAGUUGAAUCAUUGUUGUCCUAAUGCAGUAAAGGAGAGCAGGAGUGAGAGAGUGGGAUUGUAUCAGAAUGAACAAGGGGGUUUUGCUUGCCUGAAAGAUCAAUAGGGGGCACUACUCCUUAAACAGGUACUCUGGAACGGCCUCCGGAGCAGGACCUAUCGAGAAGGACGGUGUCGGCAAUCAAUACACAAGCAUAUGCAACAAUACGAUGCAUGAACAUGGCAUGUAGAUGUGAUGUUGUUUGUGCUAAUGCAACCAGCAACAAGUUCAAUGGAGCUCAUUUGAAUCAAGGAUUCAAAUGCAACUCCAAACUUAAGCAUUUUAAAUGCCCUUUAUGUGUUUUCAUCUAUACAACAGGUUUAGGUUCGUUUGUCAUGCAUGAAACAAGUACAGAUGGAUAGGUUGAAUUUUUCUGAUAAUUUUUCAUAUAUAAAUUAUUUCAAUCUGAGCUAUGGUUGAAUUUAUAUGAAUUUUUGAAGUUUUGCUAAUUUUCUGGAAUUUCCAAAAUAGAAAUAAUCCAGAAAAUGAAUAAUUGCGUCAGCACUAUGUCAUGCCUGCGUCAGCAGGUCAACAGCGCUGACCAGGGUCAAACUUGACGCGUGGGACCCACACGUCAGUGGCACACGGUUAACAGGGGGUUAUUUCUAAUCUAACUAAAAAAAUUAGGGGCGCUGGGGCCCAACUGUCUGUGUCACUGUGGUUAAUUAACUAGGUGAUUAAACCCUAAUUAAGCAGCCACGUCAUCAUCACCGGAUCUAUGCCGGCGAUGACCAAACCGACGGCGAGAGCUCGCCAGACUCGCGUUAGGGACGGCAGUUCGUCGCGCUGCUGGCACCAGGGAGGGGCUCUCGCUCGUCCGCAUCCAAAGAACCGGACGGGAGGCCGCGGGGUGGCCGGAAACGAUGUCGGCGACGACCUCGCGUGGCGGCGCACACACGGGCUCAUCAGGGAGGAGGCUACGAAGCACGGGCGAGCAAGUUGAAUCUUUCUACGGCCAUCUGGGAGCACCAUGAGGACGGUAGCGUCCUCGGGCUCUACUGGUUCGAGCUCUGGACUCGUCGGCGACACGGCCAACGACGGUGAGCUCUCGGUGCUCUUGGGGAAAGCACUACAGGAAGAAAUCGACAACGAUUCUAGGAGGAAACGAUGUUGUGCUCACAGUGAGUUCGUCGGUGGUCUCAACGGGCUCGGGGAGGCAGAGACGGGGGCGAAUCGACGGCGGCGAUCCACGGUUGCCGGUGAGGAAGAUGAUGAUGCUGACGGCGAUGCAGUGCACCCAGGCUUCUGAUCUUUAGCGUUCAGACGAAGACGAGCUUCUCUCAGCGGCUGGACAUGGCAAGGGGCCUAGGGUGCGCGGUGGCUACGGCGGCGAGCAGCGGCGCUCUCCGGUGCGCUCGGUCGUGCGAGGAAGAGAGGGCAGAGGAGGGGAGAGGCUGCGGGUGCGAGAGGGAGAGGUCAGGGGGUGCGUGGCGUCGUCUAGAGCCGUCCAAAGCGAGCAGGCAGGCCGGAGGCGGCCUCGCGCGUGUGUGUGCGCCGGG